Molecule: long non-coding RNA, 1449 nt
Organism: Oryzias latipes (Japanese medaka)
Lineage: Eukaryota; Metazoa; Chordata; Actinopteri; Beloniformes; Adrianichthyidae
Source: RefSeq, a predicted model, not a curated record
AAGAAGAAUUAGGCUGUCGGUUUUAUAAAAGGCUCCGUUUUAGGGUAUAAAUGGCAUAAAUGUUACAAUGACAACUACAAAAAGCUAGUCAUUAUGUUUUGUCAGAGGAAGCAUUAUUGAUGGCCAAACGAAAUACUUAAUUGAAGCUUUGAAAGAACAGGAAACAUCAGCUUUCUUUGUAUCUGCUGGAAGCUGGACACAACUAUUGUGCCGUCAAGCGUGAGUGGUUCGAUCAGAAAUUGAAUUCAGCGAGGGUCAUUUAGGAGCAGAACGUGGCAGCGGGCCUUCCAGUUAUCACUCAUAAUGGGAGCAGGGAGAGGGCUCCGUCUGUCUUUCGACCCCGCUCGUGAGAUCCAUGUUGACGGGUCGAUGCGGCUAAGAGCUGUUCUGACUGUGGCUAAUAACGCUGAUAAUGAAGGUUUGUGCUCUCAGGUAAAACUGAUAAGAACCUUGAAUUUAUUGAACCACAUUUGAGAUGUCAGCUGUUCCAGUAACUCCGGGAUGUUUUAUCAAAACUGAAGAACAGGAAGGCGUCAGAUAUUAAUGGAGUUGGUCUAACACGAAAUUCUUCAAUAAUAUCUUCUUUUAUUUUCUGACUUGCAGUAGUUUUUGUUUAUCAGUGAUGAAUGAUCCACAUUACAGCAGGAUGAAGGCAUAGCACUAAUUAUUAAAAGACGACACACGGUCUGCUUUUUUAUUGUUUUGCUUACUUCUCAUGAGCUCAGACUCUAAGGUGAAAGAAUCUGACAUACAUUGGUGGCCAGUUACAUUCAAUAAUUAUAAGGAACUUGUCAUAGGAAUUACUAUUCCUAAGAUUAAACCAGAUCAAUCCAUCUGUGGCAAGUUGUUAAUUUAUUCGAAUCGACCUACACCAUUAUAAAAUCGGUCCAAAAUCAAAAAUAAAAACACUAAUCAAUUAUAUCAAUACUGGUAAAUACCUUUUGCUUUUAGUCAUGGUAGGAUUUUUUUACCCUAAUGUAAAAACGACCAAGUGCAUCACGGCAGGCAACACACCUGAUGGCAGCAAAAAAAUGUUAUAGCCAUCAUUCCAGUGAACUUAGCAAAGACAUGUGACCAACCUAGAACGUGUGCUAGAACGUUCUAAGAAUGUUCCCUUUAGAUUAUUUGGAUGUGGAAAACAACAGUGGGCUGAACUUUAGGAAACUAAAAUGUAAAUGGAUUUGCUAUUAAUACAGCCUUCCCAUUUCUGUUCCUGUCCAAUUUCUCUUUUUUCUUCUGUUUUCUCUUUCAACAACUCGACCACCUGAGGGAUGGAACAGCUGGAGUGGAUCAGCUGAUUGAAGGGCUGUCACCUGGACAGCUGAUUGCCAGGAGAAGCUAACAUGGAUAAAAAAGAAAAAAGGUACGCUGGAGGAAGGGCUAAAGCUGACUAGAUAAAAAAAAUAAACUUGUGAACCUUUACCAGUGGUCCUUCACUGGGUUUUGUCA